Molecule: long non-coding RNA, 4140 nt
Filed under: Zalophus californianus (California sea lion)
Lineage: Eukaryota; Metazoa; Chordata; Mammalia; Carnivora; Otariidae
Description: lncRNA (ENSZCAG00015016825.1)
Source: RNAcentral
GAACAGAAACCUGUAUCAUCAGGAAAGAGGUGCGAGACAGUUGAAGAUAAAACCGACAGCAAACCUCACCAACAUUCAAGCCUCCUGCAGAUUGGACCUGGCAGGUCAGGAAGGGCGCCCUUCUCUCCAUCUUUUGUGGAUCUCUCAGUCCGUCCUUUCCCAUCCUCCCUCAGGUGGUUGGGCUCCUUCCCCUGUGCCCAGCAGCCAUUCUCUCAGCUACUCUUGCUCCUUCCUCCCACAAGUUUUUAUUAGUGCUUAUUUGUGUUCAUGUUUGUGCCUCGACCACGCUUCCAUGUGCUGAGAGGCAGACUGCGAGCAGGAAGUUACAGCCCUCACGAAGCCUGCUUUCUGAGGGGAGGGACAGGCCGGCAGCGGUGCGUGAGAGGCCGUGCUGUGGACACCGCAGAGCCGGCGAUGAGCGCGGGGGGCAACGCCAGGGCUGGGUGCUGUCACGCACAUGCGCACAUGCCGCGGAGCGUCUCUGGGCAGAGAGCGGAGGGAAGUGAGGGGUGAGCUCAGCCAGGUCUGCGGGAGGAGUGUCCUAGGAAGAGGGCAGCACAAGUGUGGUGGCGGCGGCUGGUGCAGAUGAGCAAGGGGCCCAUGGCCCGAGAAGAGGCCGGACGGGCAGCAGACGGAGGCGUUGCCACAGGUUUUGUAAGCUGUUGUAAGGUCUUCGAGACUUCCAGUCCAAGGAAGAGGGAAUGGCACGGGGGGGAGGCUGGACAGGGGAUACCCUGAGCUUUCAUUUCUAGGGGUCCCCCUAGCCACUGUUGGGUGGAAGCAGGGAGACCGCUGAGGACGCUCCUGCACAAGCCCAGGUGAGAGGUGGGCCAGGCUGGCGGUGGCGAAGGUCACAAGUGGACAGGCUGAGAGUGUACUUUGAAGUUGGGUCAGCUGUGGGUGUGAGAGCAGGGAACAUUCCGUCGAGGACGACUCAGCCUGUGGCCAGGGCAAAUGUAAGGAGUUCCCGUUUCCGAGGAAGAGAAGCAAGGCUGCUUCUUCGGCGGGCAGGGAGUGCAGGGAGUGCAGGCAGAGGAGGUGCACCUGUCACACGGUCAGGGCGCCUUUGCGUGCUCGGGUGGGGGCGUCCGGAGGCAGCCGGAGCUCGCGAAGAGCCUUCGGCCUGAGUUGCGACGACGAUGAGGCGGCACUCAGCGCCAGCCGUCCAGCGAGGGGGCAGAGAAGAGACGGGGUCCGGGGCGGUUGGGGGCAACAGGCAGCACGCGCGCCCUGGGCGGAGUGGCCGAGAGGCUGGAGGGAAACCACGAGACAAUGGGUGAGAGCAUGUCUGAAGCCAGAGCGGGUGCUGGCAGGAGCCGCGGAGAGCUCGGGAACGGCUAGGCUCCCGCUCACGACCGGUGUCUCCGUGCCCCCCCCCCCCCCCCGGGUGACGUGCCCCGCUCAGCUCCGCUGCGCACAGGGAGGGCCGGGGUGCGACGUGGCCAUCCAGCUCCGCCCUUCGGCACCGGCGCCUGCCCGUGUCUCCGGGAGCGGGGGCUUAGCGCGGGGACGCGGGGACGAGGGCGCUGCUCGCGGCGGCGCUGGCUCCCGGCUCUUUCCAGGCAGAGGCGAACGGCGGGCUUCGUGGAAAACCCGGAGCCCUCAGCUGCAGAGCAGAAUGGCUACUCGAUUUCUCUCCAUCAAGUCGCACCAUGUGUCUGUGACUUGGGCAGGAGGCCGCCUGCCUGACGCUGUGGGACACAAGCCCUCCCAGAGCCUGGCAGCGCUGCCCCCUACCCCCUCUCCGGCAGGGCCUCUGCGGAAGUGUGCGGCCUGCCCGUGGAGCCAGGGCCCAGGCUUCUGCUGUCUGCCCGGCCGUCUUUCCUCCACGGGACUCGGAGGCUGUGGCCGAUUUCAGGUCCCUCUCCCCUCUCUCCCCACUGUCCCCAGCAGGUAGGCCCCUCUACACAUGCCACCUCGGGAACGUCUCUCCAGCCCCGCUGCCUGCCUUCUCAGAUCUGAACAACCACAAUAGCCCCGGCUGCCCCCCCGCCCCCCCGCCUUCCCAGUCCCCCUGCGCAUCUUCACCAGGGAGGGCUUUCUAAACACAUGUCCCGUCCUGGCUUAACUGCCUUUCCUCGCCCUCCUCCCCUUCCCCUUUGCCCAGCUAGCUCCUUCUUGUCCUAAGACUUAGCCUCCAUGUCAUGUAUUCAGGUGUUAACCUGAAAAUAAAGAGCCACAACAAGAGGCAAACGAGUGUGUAUUUGGGACCCAGGAAUUGCAGUGUGGGGGGCACAGACUCUGGCUGUAACCAGAGAAGUGUCCUGCCUUCGGGUGACAGCAAGGGGCUCCACCAGAGAGAGGAAGGGAGGGAUUCCGUGACUCGGUGCUGCCAGACCGCACCGCUGUGGGGUGUGCACUGGUUGACUAUUGGGUUAACAAAUGGAACUAUUCCUGGUAUGCUUUAGUGACCUGCUCUGUCUUCCCGAAGCCCACAGCCAAGAGUUUUAUGGCCGGGAGGCCUGCUGUCCUGUUGACUUUGUGGACGAUUGCUUCAAACAACAGGUGCGUUGCCCGGGUCAAACACGGGCAGGUGAGGCGGAUUCUCCCGACUCUGUUUUCAAAUGACUCCAGUCACGUCAGUCUUUCACGCUGGGAGGUCUUCUCUGAUGCCCCGGGGCUGGGCUAGGGUCUCCUCCCAUUUUUCUGCCGGCCCCUAGCUGUCCCCACCUGGUCACGGUUCUGAUUACGCUGCACAGCUGACCUUGCAGGUAUGCGUAAUGGCUUCUUUGACUUGGGGUCCAAAGUAGUCUCGGAACAGGUAUUGGCACAGCAAGUACCAAUAAAUGUACUGACUGACUGAAUAAUGGGACCCUCUGUGGUUUUGGGUGACUGCCCUGUUCAUGGUAGGCUCCAUCCCACAGUGGGAGGUUUGGGGGAAAUGUGCACCCGGUCAGGCUUGCCCUGGCACCUCGCCUACUAAAGGCCCUGCAGUGAAAUGACCUCCAGCUGCCUCCCACUGGUGAGGCCUCUAGUGAUGGGGUCACAGCAGGGACGCCCAACCCCACCUGCCAAACUCAGCUGCCCCUAGGAAAUGUGGAUGUUGAGAGAGGUCACCAGAAACAGGUGGACUGUAGGUGACAGGUGGGCCUGUGUCACUAGAGUGGGCAUGCGUGCAAGAGUACAUGUGUGAACAGGCAUGCCCUCAUCUCGUCUGUGGUGACAUGGCUAAGCGCACCAAGAAGGGCAGGACUGCUGCUAAAUGUGGGAUCUGUUGUGGUGCCUCCCUCAGGAAAAUGGUGAGGAAAGCUGAAAUAAGCCAGCAUGCCAAGUACACCUGCUCCUCCUGCGGCAAAACCAAGAUAAAGAGAUGAGCUGUGGGGAUCUGGCACGGGGUUCGUGCAUGAAAACCUAAAACAGGUGGUGCCUGGACCCACAGAACCAUUCCUGCCAUCACAGUAAAGUCUGCCAUCUGAAGACUGAGGAGUUGAAAGACCAGUAGAAGCUCCACCAUUUGAAACAUCGCUAGCCUAUAAUAAAGGGGUUAACUUAUAUAACAAAAUAAAAAACCCCAGAUUUAUUAUCUUACGGUUCUGAAGGUCUGAAGUCCAAAUGGGUCUCACUGGGCAAACCUCCAGGUGUUCGCAUGGCUGCAUUCCUUCUGGAGGCUUUAAGGGAGGAUGUUUUCUUGCCUUUUCCAGCUUCCAGAGGCUGCCCACAUUCCUUGGCCCCUUCCAUCUUCAAAGCCUGCAGUGACUGGCCAAGUCUCUUGCGUUGUGUCUCUCUGCCACUCACUUCCGCCUCCUUCCUCCACUUAACAAGGACGCUUGUGAUGACGCUGGGCGUGUCAGGAAGAUCUCUUGAGGUCAGCUGAUUCCUGCAGCCUUAUUUUCAUCUGCAACCUUAAUUCUCCUUUGCCACAUCAGGUAGCUUGUUCACAAAUUCUGGGGAUGUGGCCGUGGAUGUGUUCGGGGGUGGUGGGCAUUAUUCUGCACACCACAGAUGGUCUGUCUCUUUCUGACUCUUUGGGCAUGUCUGUCUCUUACUCAUCCAGAGACUCCUUGGGACCCAGCCUGUGCUAGGUGUUUAUUACAUAUUUGAAUAAAUCUGAUUCAAAUGAUAUACUGAGAAUUCAUUUGUGCUGGGUACUUUCAUACAUAUCAUCACAACUUCUAUUCCCAUUUUAUAGGUGAGGAAAAU